AUUGAACGCUGGCGGCAUGCUUUACACAUGCAAGUCGAACGGCAGCGCGGGGGCAACCCUGGCGGCGAGUGGCGAACGGGUGAGUAAUAUAUCGGAACGUACCCAGAAGUGGGGGAUAACGUAGCGAAAGUUACGCUAAUACCGCAUACGAUCUACGGAUGAAAGUGGGGGACCUUCGGGCCUCAUGCUUUUGGAGCGGCCGAUAUCUGAUUAGCUAGUUGGUGAGGUAAAGGCUCACCAAGGCGACGAUCAGUAGCUGGUCUGAGAGGACGACCAGCCACACUGGAACUGAGACACGGUCCAGACUCCUACGGGAGGCAGCAGUGGGGAAUUUUGGACAAUGGGGGCAACCCUGAUCCAGCAAUGCCGCGUGAGUGAAGAAGGCCUUGGUUGUAAGACUCUUUUGUUCAGGGAAGAAACGGGGGUGGCGUAAUAUCUGCUCCUAAUGACGGUACCUGAAGAAUAAGCACCGGCUAACUACGUGCCAGCAGCCGCGGUAAU
Molecule: ribosomal RNA, 501 nt
Filed under: uncultured bacterium
Lineage: Bacteria
Description: bacterial SSU rRNA
Rfam family: Bacterial small subunit ribosomal RNA
Source: RNAcentral